CCCUUAGAUGUUCUGGGCCGCACGCGCGCUACACUGAUGAGUUCAACGAGUUUAAGUGUCCCAUUUCGGGGUCCUUUUUCCUUAUCCGAAAGGAUUGGGUAAUCUUUUAAAUGCUCAUCGUGAUGGGGCUAGAUUUUUGCAAUUAUUAAUCUCCAACGAGGAAUUCCUAGUAAACGCAAGUCAUCAGCUUGCAUUGAUUACAGUCCCUGCCCUUUGUACACACCGCCCGUCGCACCUACCGAUUGAAUAGCCCGGUGAAAUCUUCGGACUCUGCUGUUUUUCAUUUAUUUGAUGGAUGGUGGGGGAAGUUGAGUUAACCUUGUUAUUUAGAGGAAGGUGAAGUCGUAACA
This 350-nucleotide ribosomal RNA is filed under the name uncultured eukaryote. RNAcentral's name for it is "partial 18S ribosomal RNA". It matches the Rfam family "Eukaryotic small subunit ribosomal RNA", at positions 1470 to 1796 of the family's 1831-position model. The record is from RNAcentral.